CAACCUCCAGUAACGUGGGCUUAUGCUGUAUGGAUGGCAUGAAGUUUUGCUAAGAGAUGAGUCUGAGAGCAUGAUGCCUUGCCUUCCUCUUGCCGGGGGAAAAUCCCAGCAGUGCCUUCAAGGAGAGGCUCUGCCACAUGCGUGAAAAAUACGGAGCCAGGCUGGAGAGUGCAGAGCACGGGUUGUCCCUGUGUAUCCUGUCACCAGCCUGGUGGAGCCAGGAAGGUUGUUAGCCCUUUAGCAUUGACUCCUCGGUGAAGGUCACUGGCAGCCUGUUCAGAGCCUACAAAGUCAGGAUGUGCUCUCCCAGAGGAUUAAUGGAUAAAGCUCUGGAAAACUUCAUCUAGAGAAGAUGUCACCAAUUUGAUGUAUAAGAUGAACAGAUAAAUGUGUACUAGCCUCCUUGGAAAGCAACAGGAUUUUGCUUUGUCUUCAUGCAUUUCCCUCAAGACCUCGAGUUCAAGGCUUCAGUUCUCCACUUUGAAGACGCCCACAGCUGUGAACAUCCCUCCCCUCUCCCAUCCCACCGCAGACGCAGCGCACUCCUGAGUAUGGUGUCACUGCUACAGAAGACACUUAGCUACACCAGAUAGGAAGAAAAGUACACUACCAUCUGCAAGGAGAGCUGAUGGUUUUGUGUGCUCUCUAGAAAAGAUUAGUCCUGUGCUGUGAAAUCAAAAUGUGUUGAGAGACUGUUCCCAGACAAACAGCUGCUGCAUUAGA
RNAcentral lists this long non-coding RNA (723 nucleotides) under Anser brachyrhynchus (Pink-footed goose). RNAcentral's name for it is "lncRNA (ENSABRG00000008142.1)". Lineage: Eukaryota; Metazoa; Chordata; Aves; Anseriformes; Anatidae. The record is from RNAcentral.